UCUUUAGUGGGAUUUAGUGUGCGCCUAUAUGUCAUUGCCGAUCCUUUUAUGCAUUUUCUAUUGUCCAUUGAUAUUUUUCUUCCUAUGAGUCCUCCGCCUCCAUUCUGUCUCUGCUUGCGGAGUUGCCGCCACUCCAAAACCCUAGCCACCUUCAUUUCUCGGCGGUGCGCUCCAAGUUGUGCUAGUUUUCUGGUCAACAUAAAGAUGACAACAAUGGAAAAGGAUCAUAUUUUGGUUGCAUGCUUCAUAUGAUUAGAAUUUUUCUUAUAACCGUAGUGUCCGGGUCAGGAAUUACCACCAGUACAGUACGGUUAAACUCUGCCCGUCAAAGCUUGGACAAAUUGGAAGAGUCACCAAAUAUUUUUGCCUCCGAGGCCUCAUUGGUUAUCAAUCCACCAAUAAACAAACACCAUAUGAUUAGUUAUAGUUCCUUUUAAAUUGAAUUGAAUGUCAUAAUUUUAUAACCUUUCAGAGUUGGUCUGUUUUAUCAUUCUCUUAUAGAAGUACAUGUAGUUUUAUACUUUCCUGACACUUAACUGUUCAUCAUUAGCUUGUUGAUUGCUUGUUAUUCUUUCAUAUGUUGUAUGUAGCUCUUUGAUUUUCUUCUAGAGUCCCUUUUAGAAUGGAUUUUUGAUGAUGCUAUCGAAUUUUUGCAUGUGUA
Long non-coding RNA from Nicotiana tabacum (common tobacco), 661 nucleotides. RefSeq lists it as uncharacterized. The record is from RefSeq and is a predicted model, not a curated record. NCBI's taxonomy places the organism in Eukaryota, Viridiplantae, Streptophyta, Magnoliopsida, Solanales, Solanaceae.